RNAcentral lists this ribosomal RNA (445 nucleotides) under uncultured Propionibacterium sp. Its description in RNAcentral is "partial 16S ribosomal RNA". The record is from RNAcentral. Lineage: Bacteria; Bacillati; Actinomycetota; Actinomycetes; Propionibacteriales; Propionibacteriaceae.
GACUACUGGGGUAUCUAAGCCUGUUCGCUCCCCACGCUUUCGCUCCUCAGCGUCAGGAAAGGCCCAGAGAACCGCCUUCGCCACUGGUGUUCCUCCUGAUAUCUGCGCAUUCCACCGCUCCACCAGGAAUUCCAUUCUCCCCUACCUUCCUCAAGUCAACCCGUAUCGAAAGCACGCUCAGGGUUAAGCCCCAAGAUUACACUUCCGACGCGAUCAACCACCUACGAGCCCUUUACGCCCAAUAAAUCCGGACAACGCUCGCACCCUACGUAUCACCGCGGCUGCUGGCACGUAGUUAGCCGGUGCUUCUUUACCCAUUACCGUCACUCACGCUUCGUCACAGGCGAAAGCGGUUUACAACCCGAAGGCCGUCAUCCCGCACGCGGCGUUGCUGCAUCAGGCUUUCGCCCAUUGUGCAAUAUUCCCCACUGCAGCCUCCCGUAGG